RNAcentral lists this ribosomal RNA (292 nucleotides) under uncultured bacterium. RNAcentral's name for it is "partial 16S ribosomal RNA". The record is from RNAcentral.
GGACUACUAGGGUUUCUAAUCCUGUUUGCUCCCCACGCUUUCGCGCCUCAGCGUCAGUCAAGGACCAGGUCGCCGCCUUCGCCACCGGUGUUCUUCCCAAUAUCUACGAAUUUCACCUCUACACUGGGAAUUCCACGACCCUCUUCCCCACUCCAGCCCGCACGUAUCGAAUGCAGCCCCCAGGUUGAGCCCAGGAAUUUCACACCCGACUAUACAAGCCGCCUACGCGCCCUUUACGCCCAGUCAUUCCGAGCAACGCUAGCCCCCUUCGUAUUACCGCGGCUGCUGGCAC